GACGAACGCUGGCGGCGUGCUUAACACAUGCAAGUCGAACGGAAAGGCCCUGCUUUUGUGGGGUGCUCGAGUGGCGAACGGGUGAGUAACACGUGAGUAACCUGCCCUUGACUUUGGGAUAACUUCAGGAAACUGGGGCUAAUACCGGAUAGGAGCUCCUGCUGCAUGGUGGGGGUUGGAAAGUUUCGGCGGUUGGGGAUGGACUCGCGGCUUAUCAGCUUGUUGGUGGGGUAGUGGCUUACCAAGGCUUUGACGGGUAGCCGGCCUGAGAGGGUGACCGGCCACAUUGGGACUGAGGUACGGCCCAGACUCCUACGGGAGGCAGCAGUGGGGAAUAUUGCACAAUGGGCGGAAGCCUGAUGCAGCAACGCCGCGUGCGGGACGACGGCCUUCGGGUUGUAAACCGCUUUCGCCUGUGACGAAGCGUGAGUGACGGUAAUGGGUAAAGAAGCACCGGCUAACUACGUG
This 468-nucleotide ribosomal RNA is filed under the name uncultured bacterium. Its description in RNAcentral is "partial 16S ribosomal RNA". It matches the Rfam family "Bacterial small subunit ribosomal RNA", at positions 28 to 507 of the family's 1533-position model. The record is from RNAcentral.